RNAcentral lists this transfer RNA (83 nucleotides) under Phaeomoniella chlamydospora. It matches the Rfam family "tRNA". From Rfam's summary of the family: Transfer RNA (tRNA) molecules are approximately 80 nucleotides in length. Lineage: Eukaryota; Fungi; Ascomycota; Eurotiomycetes; Phaeomoniellales; Phaeomoniellaceae. The record is from Rfam by way of RNAcentral.
GGAGAAUUCCUUUAUUGGCAAGAAGGGUUGGGCUGUAAACUCAAUAGUUAUAUACUUUUAAGAGUUCGAAUCUCUUUUCUCCU